UUUACUGUUCGUGAAUGCUGAGAAAGUUUAUGUCUAAUGUAUUAGCUGUGUCAACCAUUUAUAGUGUGAAGCCACUUUCCACUUGCAACGCUAAGGAUACCGAGACGCAGGAUACCUAGACGCAUAAAUACAUUAUGCUAGUGGCACGGCCAAAAUUAUUUACUCCAAAGUCUUUAUCCUCUUCGUUUAUAUCGCUAACAAGAAAUCGUAGUCACAAAUGUACAUACGUUGAAACAUUUGAACAACGUACAACAAGCCAAUAAUGACAAGAAUGGAGAUGAAAGUGGUGAUGGUUAGUGGUAGUCGUGGUAGUAAUGGAAGUGGUAAGUGGAAGUGGUGGUGGUGGUGGUAGUGCUUGUGGUAAGUGGAAGUGGUAGUGGUAGUGGUGCUGUGCUGAUGCUGGCGCCGAUACUGGUGAUGAUGUUGAUGCCUAUACUGACACUAGUACUGACACUAGAUGACACUAGUACUGGUACUAAUGGUACCAUUCAACUUGGCAAGUAUAAGACUUAUGUGUGUAAGUGGUAAAAAAUCAAUGAGUAAACUCCACUAAGAAAAUUUCACAACUCCGUUGAUUCUUUUGAGUAUACAAACAUGAACGUUCAAGUUUUACCUUUGUUAAUUCAAUUCUAAUUAUACUGGUUUGUACUUGCUAAGCAUGUCCUGUUCACUUAUCUAAUUCGUUUCAAUUGCGGCAACUCUGGUCCGAUUUAUAAUUCGAAGAACUGAGUUUUUACCCUUUGGAUAAAGUUUUUCAACAUACUUACAAUGAUUAUGGUCUCCACUCCUGACGUAGGUCCAUGUGGUAAUAGAACACAAACUUCAAAAUCUCAUCACUAUAUUAUACUUGGUACAACAUGCAAUACCGAUUGUAUAUACCGAAUACAGUUUCCUAUUGCAAUGAAUGUGAUUUAAUCAUUUUAUGGGAGUUUUUUCAUUCAAAACUGCUUUAAAUCUAAAAACUCUUCUUUAUUCUUGACACUCGUAUAUGUUGUCUGAUAUUCCUAUUCGUGUUUCAAUAACGAAGUUUACUUUCAUUCAAAUAAAUAGAACCAAUCAAGUUUACUAGUGCUUAUUUUUUUCUUUUUUAAUAAAAAGAAUGAAUAUUAGGUGUAUGAUAUGAAUACGUUUUUGUUUGUUUGUUUGCAAAUUAAAAUUAAAAACAACAAAAAAUUAAAGCUACUGAUUUAACUUUGCUUAUUCCAUAACACUUCUUACUCAAUCUCACAUAACCGUUGCAUUCAUUAUAUAGCUUAGCUUCAAUGAAAGUGGUCAAUAAAUGUAAAAAUAAGUAAUUCAGCCUUGCUCAAUUGCACCGUUUUUCCAAAUGUCGCAUGAACACUCAAGUAAAGAUGUGACAAAAUAAAUAAGAAUAAAAAUAAAAAUAAAUUUACAAAUCAGAGUUUAAACCCAAUGUAUUCCCAAAAAAGAGUUUAUCACAAACCAAACAAGAUAGAUAUGAAAUGAAAAGUUAAAUAAAUAAAAAUGGAUCGAAUGGUUAGAAUUAUUAGAUCAAGGUAAGUUUGCUUGGGAAAGAUUCAUGAGUAUUUAUAAUAAACAUAUAAUUCUCAAAUAGCUUAAUGAAGUAAUGGUGACUGAGCUACAAAGGCAAGGAAAUAAGUUUUUAAAAAAUUUCAAAAUGCUGUUAAUAAAAUAUAUGUAGUAAAAUUACAAAUACCAAAGACAUUUCGGAAAAUUCAUCCUUCAAAGUUCUUGUUCUUCCAAACUUCGGUAUACUUUCCACACGAUAUUUAUCAAUUACCAUCAGACUUCUAAAGAGCUUAAUUUACUCAUUUUAUCGCUGGUAAUCUUGGUAAAAUCAGUGUUUAUAUCAUUUGUGUAAAUAUUGAUGGUUGUUAACAUUUUCUGAAACAAUUGCUGAUAUGAAAGACUAUUAAAAGUCCUGUUUCAAAAAUUGAGAUAAAGAUUUUGGAAAACAUAGAUACAUGUACAUCAUCGCUUAGCACUUUGAGAAAGAGAUAAUAAUAGAAUCAUAUUUACCCCAAACUAAUUCAUGGGUGAUUGAUGAAAACAUCAACCAUUGUUUCAUUUCAUAAAGCAACACUGGGUGAGCACUAAAUAGACGGAACCAAAUGAUGUGAGGUUCAUGAUGGGUUCAUCGUUUCCAUUCAGUUUACACACCAUACGAAGAGGAAAAAGAAGUUAUUAAAAAAGUACAAGCGAUGCCGUCAGUUGGAUAUAAAGAAACGAGAGCUAGUACGUAUUACCACACCACCACAAUUUAACCCGAUUAGGCAAACAUCAAGAGUCCUGCAAAGACCGAAUCAAUCGGUACAUGUCUCGCUGAAAAACUUUAUAGUUGAAUGUUGUCUCCAUUUCUUGUGAUAUGAGUUUCAAGUUUUGAUCUUUUUUAAAAUCGUCAUCAAUCAUUUCAUCAUUUCAUCUUUUUGUUUGUUUGUUUUUUUAAUUUUUAAACAAUAUCGAACUUUAAUUACUGGAGUUCAGCCGACUGGAGAUGUAAAAGUCUUUAUCGUUUUUUGUUGACAAUCAUACUCGAAAAAAAAGAAAUCAAAUCAGAAUUGAACACGAAGUAUGACCCGAAUUGCUCUAGUACACGUGAUGUCGUCAUGGCAAGAAAUUUUGGUGAUGUGGGUCUACUAAUCCAAUAAUAGCGACUUCCUUACUUAUUAAGAGACUUGAAGGCAGUUCAAAAUACCUGUGUCUGCUCACAUAU
Molecule: long non-coding RNA, 2695 nt
Filed under: Schizosaccharomyces pombe (fission yeast)
Lineage: Eukaryota; Fungi; Ascomycota; Schizosaccharomycetes; Schizosaccharomycetales; Schizosaccharomycetaceae
Description: centromeric lncRNA
Source: RNAcentral